AUUUUUGUGAAAUAAAAUAGAGUUGACAUUUUAGAAAAUUUUGGAGAUUUUACAACACAUCUAUAAGUGUAAUUUUGUAGGUUGGUGGGUAUAGUUGUACUUGAUGUGUAUUGUGAAUUUAAGAUCAAUGGAACGAUGUCAUAUUAUAUAUCAUCCUAUUUAGAAAUGCAUCGGACAUUUGGCUAUGGAAAGUGAGGUUGUAUUUAUAAGUAUUGAAGAAUCCUAAUAUGUUUUAUCUUAGAAGAAAAAUGUAAUUUGAAUUUUAUUUCAAAAGUACUUAAAUUCAAUACAAAGUACUCAAAAACAAUCUUCUUAGUAAUCUCAACUAUACAUAAACUCCAAUUGCAUGACUACUUUAAUAAUUAGGUAAUUUUGA
RNAcentral lists this long non-coding RNA (376 nucleotides) under Physcomitrium patens. Its description in RNAcentral is "long non-coding RNA (PPAT_LNC005054)". The record is from RNAcentral. Lineage: Eukaryota; Viridiplantae; Streptophyta; Bryopsida; Funariales; Funariaceae.